Molecule: long non-coding RNA, 490 nt
Organism: Microplitis demolitor
Lineage: Eukaryota; Metazoa; Arthropoda; Insecta; Hymenoptera; Braconidae
Exons: 2
Source: RefSeq, a predicted model, not a curated record
GCCUUUUAAAGUGCUCUCGACACUAUCUACUGUAUCGUCACAAUGAACACGUGUCUGUCAUAUUUGUGCACGAUCGUAUUUUUAAAUGGACAAAUGUACACAAGAAUGUUUUGGGAAAUUAAAACCCAGUGGCAUGGGGUCAAGGUCUUGGAAACUGACAAGCCGGAAGUCAUUUACUUGUAUCUUAAUAUAUAAACACAUAUACGUAUAUUUAUCUGUCAAUACGGAACUUGUUACGAAAAUUCUUCGAUGUCUAUGACCACGUUCUACGUCACAAUAUUUAUUACAAUCAACAUUCAUUUAAAACUUUCAAGGAUUAUUUUUUCAAGAAUUUUUCAUGGAUUAUUCAACGACGCGUUGAUCCAUUAUUUAAACAAUGAGGAUCAUUUAGCGAUCGCUGUUCAUGUGAGUGGAUGGAAAGCUUAUAAAGUUUUUGAAUAUUUAAAUUAAAAAACAAUUGUGAUGUAAAUAAAGUGAUGUAUAAAUACGA